AGGUUAAGUUAAUAAGGGCGCACGGUGGAUGCCUUGGCACUAGGAGCCGACGAAGGACGUGACAAACGACGAUAUGCCUUGGGUAGCUGUAAGUAAGCGAUGAUCCAGGGAUUUCCGAAUGGGGGAACCCAACAGGUAGUACCUGUUACCCACAUCUGUUAAGGAUGUGAGGAGGAAGACGCAGUGAACUGAAACAUCUAAGUAGCUGCAGGAAGAGAAAGCAAAAGCGAUUGCCUUAGUAGCGGCGAGCGAAACGGCAGGAGGGCAAACCGAAGAGUUUACUCUUCGGGGUUGUAGGACUGCAAUGUGGACUCAAAGAUUAUAGAAGAAUGAUUUGGGAAGAUCAGCCAAAGAGAGUAAUAGCCUCGUAUUUAAAAUAGUCUUUGUACCUAGCAGUAUCCUGAGUACGGCGGGACACGUGAAAUCCCGUCGGAAUCUGGGAGGACCAUCUCCCAACCCUAAAUACUCCCUAGUGACCGAUAGUGAACCAGUACCGUGAGGGAAAGGUGAAAAGCACCCCGGGAGGGGAGUGAAAUAGAACCUGAAACCGUGUGCCUACAACAAGUUCGAGCCCGUUAAUGGGUGAGAGCGUGCCUUUUGUAGAAUGAACCGGCGAGUUACGUUAUGAUGCGAGGUUAAGUUGAAGAGACGGAGCCGUAGGGAAACCGAGUCUGAAUAGGGCGCCUUAGUAUCAUGACGUAGACCCGAAACCAUGUGACCUACCCAUGAGCAGGUUGAAGGUGCGGUAAGACGCACUGGAGGACCGAACCAGGGCACGUUGAAAAGUGCUUGGAUGACUUGUGGGUAGCGGAGAAAUUCCAAACGAACUUGGAGAUAGCUGGUUCUCUCCGAAAUAGCUUUAGGGCUAGCGUCGACAUUAGAGAUUCUUGGAGGUAGAGCACUGUUUGGGUGAGGGGUCCAUCCCGGAUUACCAAUCUCAGAUAAACUCCGAAUGCCAAUGAAUUAUGGUCGGCAGUCAGACUGCGAGUGCUAAGAUCCGUAGUCGAAAGGGAAACAGCCCAGACCACCAGCUAAGGUCCCAAAAUAAUUGUUAAGUGGAAAAGGAUGUGGGGUUGCACAGACAACUAGGAUGUUAGCUUAGAAGCAGCUAUUCAUUCAAAGAGUGCGUAAUAGCUCACUAGUCGAGUGACCCUGCGCCGAAAAUGUACCGGGGCUAAAACAAUUUACCGAAGCUGUGGAUACCUUUAUAGGUAUGGUAGGAGAGCGUUCUAUGUGUGAUGAAGGUAUACCGUGAGGAGUGCUGGAACGCAUAGAAGUGAGAAUGCCGGUAUGAGUAGCGAAAGACAGGUGAGAAUCCUGUCCACCGUAAGACUAAGGUUUCCAGGGGAAGGCUCGUCCGCCCUGGGUUAGUCGGGACCUAAGGAGAGACCGAAAGGUGUAUCCGAUGGACAACAGGUUGAUAUUCCUGUACUAGAGUAUGUAGUGAUGGAGGGACGCAGUAGGCUAACUAAAGCAGACGAUUGGAAGAGUCUGUCUAAGCAGUGAGGUGUGAAUUGAGUCAAAUGCUUAAUUCUAUAACAUUGAGCUGUGAUGGGGAGCGAAGUUUAGUAGCGAAGUUAGUGACGUCACACUGCCAAGAAAAGCUUCUAGCGUUUAANNAAGUCAGCCGCAGUGAAUAGGCCCAAGCAACUGUUUAUCAAAAACACAGCUCUCUGCUAAAUCGUAAGAUGAUGUAUAGGGGGUGACGCCUGCCCGGUGCUGGAAGGUUAAGAGGAGUGCUUAGCGUAAGCGAAGGUAUGAAUUGAAGCCCCAGUAAACGGCGGCCGUAACUAUAACGGUCCUAAGGUAGCGAAAUUCCUUGUCGGGUAAGUUCCGACCCGCACGAAAGGCGUAAUGAUUUGGGCACUGUCUCAACGAGAGACUCGGUGAAAUUUUAGUACCUGUGAAGAUGCAGGUUACCCGCGACAGGACGGAAAGACCCCAUGGAGCUUUACUGCAGUUUGAUAUUGAGUGUCUGUACCACAUGUACAGGAUAGGUAGGAGUCUAAGAGAUCGGGACGCCAGUUUCGAAGGAGACGCUGUUGGGAUACUACCCUUGUGUUAUGGCCACUCUAACCCAGAUAGGUGAUCCCUAUCGGAGACAGUGUCUGACGGGCAGUUUGACUGGGGCGGUCGCCUCCUAAAAGGUAACGGAGGCGCCCAAAGGUUCCCUCAGAAUGGUUGGAAAUCAUUCGCAGAGUGUAAAGGUAUAAGGGAGCUUGACUGCGAGAGCUACAACUCGAGCAGGGACGAAAGUCGGGCUUAGUGAUCCGGUGGUUCCGUAUGGAAGGGCCAUCGCUCAACGGAUAAAAGCUACCCUGGGGAUAACAGGCUUAUCUCCCCCAAGAGUUCACAUCGACGGGGAGGUUUGGCACCUCGAUGUCGGCUCGUCGCAUCCUGGGGCUGUAGUCGGUCCCAAGGGUUGGGCUGUUCGCCCAUUAAAGCGGCACGCGAGCUGGGUUCAGAACGUCGUGAGACAGUUCGGUCCCUAUCCGUCGCGGGCGUAGGAAAUUUGAGAGGAUCUGCUCCUAGUACGAGAGGACCAGAGUGGACUUACCGCUGGUGUACCAGUUGUCUUGCCAAAGGCAUCGCUGGGUAGCUAUGUAGGGAAGGGAUAAACGCUGAAAGCAUCUAAGUGUGAAACCCACCUCAAGAUGAGAUUUCCCAUGAUUAUAUAUCAGUAAGAGCCCUGAGAGAUGAUCAGGUAGAUAGGUUAGAAGUGGAAGUGUGGCGACACAUGUAGCGGACUAAUACUAAUAGCUCGAGGACUUAUCCAAA
Molecule: ribosomal RNA, 2778 nt
Filed under: Streptococcus pneumoniae
Lineage: Bacteria; Bacillati; Bacillota; Bacilli; Lactobacillales; Streptococcaceae
Description: bacterial LSU rRNA
Rfam family: Bacterial large subunit ribosomal RNA
Source: RNAcentral